This is a small nuclear RNA of Octodon degus (degu), 111 nucleotides long. The record is from Ensembl. NCBI's taxonomy places the organism in Eukaryota, Metazoa, Chordata, Mammalia, Rodentia, Octodontidae.
GUGCUCACUUUGGCAGUACGUAAAUAAAAACUGGAACACCACAAGAGAAGAUUAGUACGGUUCCUGCAAAUGGAGGAUGGCACACAAACUCAUGAAGCAGUCCAUAUUUUA